Molecule: ribosomal RNA, 460 nt
Filed under: uncultured bacterium
Lineage: Bacteria
Description: partial 16S ribosomal RNA
Rfam family: Bacterial small subunit ribosomal RNA
Source: RNAcentral
CCUACGGGUGGCAGCAGUGAGGAAUAUUGGUCAAUGGACGAGAGUCUGAACCAGCCAAGUAGCGUGAAGGAUGACUGCCCUAUGGGUUGUAAACUUCUUUUAUAAAGGAAUAAAACGAGGCAAGUGUGACUUUUUGCAUGUACUUUAUGAAUAAGGAUCGGCUCACUCCGUGCCAGCAGCCGCGGUAAUAAGGAGGAUCUGAGCGUUAUACGGAUCAAUUGGGUUUAAAGGGAGCGUAGAGGGGUUGUUAAGUCAUUUGUGAAAGUUUGCGGAUCAACCGUAAAAUUGCAAUUGAUACUGGCAGUCUUGAGUACAGUGGAGGUAGGCGGAAUUCGUGGUGUAGCGGUGAAAUGCGUAGAUAUCACGAAGAACCCCGAUUGCGAAGGCAGCUUACUAAACUGUGACUGACAUUGAUGCUCGAAAGUGUGGGUAUCAAACAGGAUUAGAUACCCUUGUAGUC